GAGGUCAUCAGCGAUGAGCACGGCAUUGAUCCUACAGGCAGCUACCACGGGGACAGUGACCUGCAGCUGGAGAGGAUCAACGUCUACUACAAUGAAGCUGCUGGUGGUAACAAGUACGUGCCUCGUGCCAUCCUGGUGGACCUGGAGCCCGGCACGAUGGACUCUGUGCGCUCUGGCCCCUUUGGACAGAUCUUCAGGCCCGACAACUUUGUCUUUGGUCAGAGCGGGGCUGGCAACAACUGGGCCAAGGGGCACUACACGGAGGGUGCUGAGCUGGUGGACUCGGUCCUGGACGUGGUGAGGAAGGAGUCAGAGAGCUGCGACUGCCUGCAGGGCUUCCAGCUGACCCACUCGCUGGGCGGCGGCACGGGCUCUGGGAUGGGCACCCUCCUCAUCAGCAAGAUCCGGGAGGAGUACCCCGACCGCAUCAUGAACACCUUCAGCGUCAUGCCCUCCCCCAAGGUGUCGGACACGGUGGUGGAGCCCUACAACGCCACCCUCUCUGUGCACCAGCUGGUGGAGAACACGGACGAGACCUACUGCAUCGACAACGAGGCCCUGUAUGACAUUUGCUUCCGCACCCUGAAGCUGACCACCCCCACGUACGGGGACCUCAACCACCUGGUGUCGGCCACCAUGAGCGGCGUGACCACCUGCCUGCGCUUCCCCGGGCAGCUGAACGCCGACCUGCGCAAGCUGGCGGUCAACAUGGUGCCUUUCCCCCGGCUGCACUUCUUCAUGCCGGGCUUCGCCCCGCUCACCAGCCGCGGCAGCCAGCAGUACCGCGCCCUGACGGUGCCCGAGCUGACGCAGCAGAUGUUCGACUUGGAUCCCCAACAACGUGAAGACGGCCGUCUGCGACAUCCCCCCGCGCGGCCUCAAGAUGUCGGCCACCUUCAUCGGCAACAGCACGGCCAUCCAGGAGCUCUUCAAGAGGAUCUCGGAGCAGUUCACGGCCAUGUUCCGGCGCAAGGCUUUCCUGCACUGGUACACGGGCGAGGGCAUGGACGAGAUGGAGUUCACCGAGGCCGAGAGCAACAUGAACGACCUGGUCUCCGAGUACCAGCAAUACCAGGACGCCACUGCUGACGAGCAGGGGGAGUUUGAAGAGGAAGGAGAGGAGGAUGAGGCGUAAAGUUGAAUUGAGUAGGAGUUAAGUAUAGUCUGAGCAGGCAAGUGUUCAUUGAGAGGAGGAAUCUGUGCAGUUGUGCUGAAGCAUGCAUUUUUUCAUUUGGUGCUCUCCACUGUUGCUUCUGUCAGCAGUUUUGUAUCCUUGACUGUCCAAUGUAACAGUAGUUGCAAAAAUACUUCAGAGUCUUCUGUUGAAAUGGGUAACUUCUCAAACAUAAAGCUUUUUGUGUCUUAAA
Molecule: RNA transcript, 1367 nt
Organism: Chaetura pelagica (chimney swift)
Lineage: Eukaryota; Metazoa; Chordata; Aves; Apodiformes; Apodidae
Gene name: tubulin beta-2 chain-like
Exons: 4
Source: RefSeq, a predicted model, not a curated record